AUUCCAGCUCCAAUAGUGUAUAUUAAAGUUGUUGCGGUUAAAAAGCUCGUAGUUGGAUUUCUGUCGGGGACGACCGGCCCGCCCCUGGGUGCGUACCUGGUUCGGCCUUGGCAUCUUCUUGGAGAACGUUACUGCACUUGAUUGUGUGGCGCGGUAUUCAGGACUUUUACUUUGAGGAAAUUAGAGUGUUUCAAGCAGGCACAGUCCUUGAAUACAUUAGCAUGGAAUAAUAAGAUAGGACCUUAGUUCUAUUUUGUUGGUUUCUAGAGCUCAGGUAAUGAUUAAUAGGGAUAGCUGGGGGCAUUCGUAUUUAAUUGUCAGAGGUGAAAUUCUUGGAUUUGUUAAAGACGAACUACUGCGAAAGCAUUUGCCAAGGAUGUUUUCAUCA
This 388-nucleotide ribosomal RNA is filed under the name Pheopolykrikos sp. RNAcentral's name for it is "partial small subunit ribosomal RNA". It matches the Rfam family "Eukaryotic small subunit ribosomal RNA", at positions 582 to 975 of the family's 1831-position model. Lineage: Eukaryota; Dinophyceae; Gymnodiniales; Gymnodiniaceae. The record is from RNAcentral.